This 1707-nucleotide long non-coding RNA is filed under the name Homo sapiens (human). Its description in RNAcentral is "non-protein coding lnc-TNFRSF4-1:1". The record is from RNAcentral. Lineage: Eukaryota; Metazoa; Chordata; Mammalia; Primates; Hominidae.
CAGAGACGAGGAUGUGCGUGGGGGCUCGGCGGCUGGGCCGCGGGCCGUGUGCGGCUCUGCUCCUCCUGGGCCUGGGGCUGAGCACCGUGACGGGGCUCCACUGUGUCGGGGACACCUACCCCAGCAACGACCGGUGCUGCCACGAGUGCAGGCCAGGCAACGGGAUGGUGAGCCGCUGCAGCCGCUCCCAGAACACGGUGUGCCGUCCGUGCGGGCCGGGCUUCUACAACGACGUGGUCAGCUCCAAGCCGUGCAAGCCCUGCACGUGGUGUAACCUCAGUGAGCUCCCACCUGGCCCCACAGCCCCACCCAGCACAGGGGGCGGCAGCCUGGCACCCACAUUCCCACGCAGCAGCAUGGGGCUCCCACAGCCGCAGAAACGAACCUCAAACCACAGCGGGGUCUGCUCCGCCACAGGGGUCCUUCGAGGAGCUGAGGCGUCUCCCAGGGGCACCCCCUCUCCCUCCGGGGGCCCAGACUCGGCCCAGGCCACGUGGAGUCGGGGAGACCACGCUGGCCAUGUGGCCUGGCCUUGCUGGCCUGAGCAGUGAGGCUGGGGGGUUGGGCCAUGGAGACCCUGCCGCAGGCGGGGCUGGCGGCUGGAGGCGGUGGAGGGGUAGGGAAGGGUGGCUGGGGCUGCCACGGAACCAGCCCCAGGUUGUGGCCAGGAAGGGAGGGCCCAGGAGCCUCGGGGGCUGCAGGGGCUCCAAGUCUCAGGGGAGGCCGCAGACCCCUGCCCACGGCCCUCUGUGUGGUGGGGAGGCCAACCUGUCCUCCAGUGCCCACGCUUCCUGAGGACCCUGUCCACAGCCCCCACCUGACCACCCCCCCAUCCGGCCCCUGCUCAGGAAGUGGGAGUGAGCGGAAGCAGCUGUGCACGGCCACACAGGACACAGUCUGCCGCUGCCGGGCGGGCACCCAGCCCCUGGACAGCUACAAGCCUGGAGUUGACUGUGCCCCCUGCCCUCCAGGGCACUUCUCCCCAGGCGACAACCAGGCCUGCAAGCCCUGGACCAACUGCACCUUGGCUGGGAAGCACACCCUGCAGCCGGCCAGCAAUAGCUCGGACGCAAUCUGUGAGGACAGGGACCCCCCAGCCACGCAGCCCCAGGAGACCCAGGGCCCCCCGGCCAGGCCCAUCACUGUCCAGCCCACUGAAGCCUGGCCCAGAACCUCACAGGGACCCUCCACCCGGCCCGUGGAGGUCCCCGGGGGCCGUGCGGUUGCCGCCAUCCUGGGCCUGGGCCUGGUGCUGGGGCUGCUGGGCCCCCUGGCCAUCCUGCUGGCCCUGUACCUGCUCCGGAGGGACCAGAGGCUGCCCCCCGAUGCCCACAAGCCCCCUGGUGAGUGCCUCAUGGCCCUGCCGCACUGCUCCUGGCGGGUGAGGCCCACCCACCAAUCUCUCCUUUUUUCCUCCCCAGGGGGAGGCAGUUUCCGGACCCCCAUCCAAGAGGAGCAGGCCGACGCCCACUCCACCCUGGCCAAGAUCUGACCUGGGCCCACCAAGGUGGACGCUGGGCCCCGCCAGGCUGGAGCCCGGAGGGUCUGCUGGGCGAGCAGGGCAGGUGCAGGCCGCCUGCCCCGCCACGCUCCUGGGCCAACUCUGCACCGUUCUAGGUGCCGAUGGCUGCCUCCGGCUCUCUGCUUACGUAUGCCAUGCAUACCUCCUGCCCCGCGGGACCACAAUAAAAACCUUGGCAGACGGGA